AUUGAACGCUGGCGGCAGGCCUAACACAUGCAAGUCGAGCGAGCGGCGGACGGGUGAGUAAUGUCUGGGAAACUGCCUGAUGGAGGGGGAUAACUACUGGAAACGGUAUCUCAUACCGCAUACGCUCAGAUGUGUCCAGAUGGGAUUAGCUAGUAGGUGGGGUAACGGCGCACCUAGGCGACGAUCCCUAGCUGGUCUGAGAGGAUGACCAGCCACACUGGAACUGAGACACGGUCCAGACUCCUACGGGAGGCAGCAGUGGGGAAUAUUGCACAAUGGGCGCAAGCCUGAUGCAGCCAUGCCGCGUGUGUGAAGAAGGCCUUCGGGUUGUAAAGCACUUUCAGCGGGGAGGCGUUACCCGCAGAAGAAGCACCGGCUAACUCCGUGCCAGCAGCCGCGGUAAUAC
This 406-nucleotide ribosomal RNA is filed under the name uncultured bacterium. Its description in RNAcentral is "partial 16S ribosomal RNA". It matches the Rfam family "Bacterial small subunit ribosomal RNA", at positions 30 to 526 of the family's 1533-position model. The record is from RNAcentral.